Peromyscus maniculatus bairdii (prairie deer mouse) is the source of this 873-nucleotide non-coding RNA. NCBI's taxonomy places the organism in Eukaryota, Metazoa, Chordata, Mammalia, Rodentia, Cricetidae. The record is from RefSeq and is a predicted model, not a curated record.
UCCAAUACCGGCUGAUCAGCGAUGAGGAUGGAGAGGGUAGCAACCCCGGCAGUCGCCCUACUGACGGGAUGCUGAGGCUCUUCUUGUAGGACAUUUGCUGUCUGCUACAACUGAGUGUCCCCGAAAGCAGGCUCUGAGAAAUUACCUCAUGGAAGGCUCUUUAGUAAGUACUCUGGGAAUGAGCUCUUAUGGAAGAGAGGUAAAGGUAGGGGGUUGGGGUGCGAGGAGAUUGUGCAGCAGUCUUUACUUCUGGAAGCUUCUGAUACUGAAAUUGACCACCAGGAUGGUCUGAGUGAGGUUAAGGCCCUGUCUCCUCACCUUGCGACAAUGUCACUGGCUAGUGAGAUGAAGGAAGACCUGGGGUAGAUAGCUUUCUUCACUCCUCUACACAGUCAUGAGUAAUAUUCAUGUUCUCUUGUCUUCCUGGAACUGAGUCAUGUUAGAGUUUCCCACAUCCUUCUAGAUAUGACCAAGCAAUUCGCUCUGAUGAAUGGAUCUCACAAGUGGUACAUUUUAACUCGAGGUAGAAGCUUUUCAUAAUCCAGUGUCCUUUCCUACUCCAUAGUGACCUGUGAUAUUCCAGAUGGUGGCAACCCUUCCAGGUGCAUCUCUGAAUGAAGACAUCCUGGAACAGUGCCCCCAGCAAUCCUAUGGCAUAUGAUCAAAAGUAAACAUUCUGGUUGCUAACUGCUAACAGGGACUCCAUUGUCAUGGUAGCACAAUGGUGACAUCUGACACGUGUCAUCUUUCAAUUCCAUAUCUCACCUUUGCUACCUUGUGUUUCUCUCCUUAUUUCUUACCCAAUAUUUAUACUUAAUAUUCUUUUCCAUCCUGUUCAAGCUCAGUAUUUCCCACAAAGUGUUCGAUAAAGAA